GUCUGCCUACCCACCAGACACCUGAGCUUGCACGAUGGCCAGAGUGAGACCACAGCCUCUUCUCCAAAUGGCAGGUGGAGGACCAAAGCACUUGACCCAUCAUCUGCUGCCUUCCAGGAUGCAUCAGCAGGAAGCUAGAUGGGAAGUGGAGAAGCCGGGAUUUGAACCAGCAUGGAUGCAGGCUUUGCAAGUGGUGCUUCACCCACCGCACCACAAUGCCUGCCCUUCACACAAUUAUCAACUGAGCAUCAAAUGUAUUUCUGAUACUGUGAAAAUAUCCUUAGACUUGGGAAAGAACUGGAGUCAGAGAGACAUUGAUUUGGUAGAGAUGGAUCUAGUGGCAGAAACUUGGGAGUCCCCAGAGAGUAGGUUCUGCUGUUGGGUAGGAAGAUAGAAAUUAGCCUAUGUGUGUGAAGGGUGCCUAAGGAAAACAAAGCAUCCAUGGAAAGGAGUGUAGCAGGUUCCAGCAGCCUUCACAUUGGAAGCAGGCCAGUAUUUUAUACUACAAAGUCCUCCAUAUCCAGUAACUUUAUAAGAGGUCCCAGCCUUCUCCCCAAGGAAGGCGCACCAGGAGAAUCCUCUCUGCCGGGCGCCAAGAGGGCCACCUAGUCUGAUAACAUUGGGUAAUAAAACCAGGAGGAAUUUUACCUAUUUCAUACUCAAUAUAUCCUUUGUCCAGGAGAAGUGGGUGGCAGGGAAGGAGAAAUGGAGGGAAAACCUGGACCCCACAUCCUUAAAAAUCCCAGUCUAAAUGUGGACUGGACACUGUCUCAGAACUGUCUGGAGAAGUGCCCAACCUUUCUGGGGGAUGCCACCUUGUUUACCACUACUCUCAGCCCACGUCUGAAAUUCUUUUCCUAGGGGAAGACAAGAAUUCCUGUUCCAGCCAUCUCCUGUAACCCUGGCACAUGGCAGACUGAAAUAUUUGCAAUUAAGGUAAGAAUGUCCCUGUUGUUUCAUCGAGGGAGCAUUUUAUCUUUAAAAAAAUCUGGGAGAGAGAGAAUCCAAGAGGGCUCCUAUCCUCUGGUUCACUCCCCAAAUAGUUACAAAAUCUAGGGCUAGGC
This is a non-coding RNA of Oryctolagus cuniculus (rabbit), 1064 nucleotides long. NCBI's taxonomy places the organism in Eukaryota, Metazoa, Chordata, Mammalia, Lagomorpha, Leporidae. The record is from RefSeq and is a predicted model, not a curated record.